GAAGCAUAUCAAUAAGCGGAGGAAAAGAAACUAACAAGGAUUCCCCUAGUAACGGCGAGUGAAGCGGGAAGAGCUCAAAUUUGAAAUCUAGUAGCCUUCGGCUGCUCGAGUUGUAAUCUAUAGAAAUGUUUUCCGUGCUGGCUCAUGUACAAGUCCCUUGGAACAGGGCGUCAUAGAGGGUGAGAAUCCCGUACUUGACAUGAAUUACCAGUGCUCUGUGAUACAUUUUCAAAGAGUCGAGUUGUUUGGGAAUGCAGCUCAAAAUGGGUGGUAAAUUCCAUCUAAAGCUAAAUAUUGGCGAGAGACCGAUAGCGAACAAGUACCGUGAGGGAAAGAUGAAAAGCACUUUGGAAAGAGAGUUAAACAGUAUGUGAAAUUGUUAAAAGGGAAACGAUUGAAGUCAAUCAUGUCCUUGGGUCUUACCACCCUUGGAUGGGGUCAACAUCAGUUUUGAUCGGUGGAUAAGGAUAGGAGGAAGGUAGCACUCUCGGGUGAACUUAUAGCCUCCUGUCGCAUACACUGGUUGAGACUGAGGUCUGCUAUUACAGGAUGUUGACAUAAUGGCUUUAAACGACCCGUCUUGAAACACGGACCAAGGAGUCUAACAUAUCUGCGAGUAUUUGGGUGUCAAACCCGAGUGCGCAAUGAAAGUGAAUGUAGGAGUGAUCCGCAAGGAGCAACUUCGACCGAUCUGGAUCUUUAGUGAUGGAUUUGAGUAAGAGCAUAUAUGUUGGGACCCGAAAGAUGGUGAACUAUGCCUGAAUAGGGCGAAGCCAGAGGAAACUCUGGUGGAGGCUCGUAGCGAUUCUGACGUGCAAAUCGAUCGUCAAAUUUGGGUAUAGGGGCGAAAGACUAAUCGAACCAUCUAGUAGCUGGUUCCUGCCGAUU
Molecule: ribosomal RNA, 888 nt
Filed under: Goffeauzyma gastrica
Lineage: Eukaryota; Fungi; Basidiomycota; Tremellomycetes; Filobasidiales; Filobasidiaceae
Description: LSU rRNA
Rfam family: Eukaryotic large subunit ribosomal RNA
Source: RNAcentral